Trichonephila clavata is the source of this 73-nucleotide non-coding RNA. Lineage: Eukaryota; Metazoa; Arthropoda; Arachnida; Araneae; Nephilidae. The record is from the annotation of a GenBank genome assembly.
GUCCCUGUAGCGCAAAGGAUAGCGCGUUGGAUUUUUACUUCAAAGGUUGUGGGUUCGAAUCCCACUUGGGAUG